Corticium candelabrum is the source of this 1176-nucleotide long non-coding RNA. RefSeq lists it as uncharacterized. The record is from RefSeq and is a predicted model, not a curated record. Lineage: Eukaryota; Metazoa; Porifera; Homoscleromorpha; Homosclerophorida; Plakinidae. The transcript has 6 exons.
UGUGUGUUGAUGUUAUGUUUCAUUGUUUGCUGUCUAUGAUGAGAGUGAUCAGUUAUCCCUGUCUGAAGUGUCUGUGCUUCAGUGUAGAACUAUUAGUUUAUGACUGAGAUGGCAAGUUGUGUGUAGUCUAUUUAUCUUGAUUACAUUGCAGAUGCCAUGACAUUGUCUUGAUUUCUGGUGAACUAUGGCAAGCUGAUGAGAAUUUCCUAAGGAAACUGAAAAUUUAGUUAACUCCAAAAUUGAAAGGUACUUCCAAAAGUUUGAGUGUCAGGAGUUUCAUGAUUUGAAAAAGGUAUCUGAGUCAUCCAAACCGUCAACAUGUGGUCGACAGGCAUGCACAAGUUAAAGAAUGUCAGAAUUUCUACAGGCACAAGUCUUGCAGACAGUCAUUGUGGAAAGCGCCAAUUUUGCACUAAUUUAGGAGGUGUGAAAAUCUUAGAUUCUUGGACAAAGUUGGGGGUGGGGCUUGCUUGAACCCUGGGCCAGUGGGGUAAUACUCAAGCAAGGAUUGUGUACAGUCAGUUGCAGAGAGUAGAGGAGGCAUGCCUUAGUCAAUCUCGGGGAGUCAAGCAGUAUCAAGUACAUCAGAAUGCAUGCAGGAAUUCCACACAAUAGACAAGAUGGCUGUCUUUAUUAGACACCUGUGUAAUGGGCUUCAGAUGUCAACAAUUUGAGAAUGACCAGGUACAAGGCUAAGGGAUUCAGAAGACAACUUUUAGGUGAAAUUGAGAUGAGCUAACAGAGCAAUGCGAAGACAGCCUACACACAUUGACCUAAAGCGUUACUCAGCGUAGCUUGAUGUUGUUCCAAACAUUGGUUACUCCUUUGACUCUUCUACUUUGAUGAAUGCCUCACCACUUCCAGAAUUGUGGUGGACAAGAGACUUGUGCAUAGGCGUGACAGCAACCCAAGGCGUAUGCCUUUUCAUGUAGAAUGCGAAGAGAAUGAUCACAACGAUAACUGCAAACACGAUUGCACCGCCGAUACAACCACCAAUGAUGGCCGAUUCUAACAGACAAAACAACUUUUAAUUUGUGUAAAUGGAUGAGACUAGCAUUAAGCGAUAUCUUUUUAUUAAUAUUAAUAAAUUGAUAAGAAUAUGUUGGUUUGUUAUUUUUAAAUAGUCUGUAAUAUGUUAGAAUGUUAUUUUGUUGUUUAAAAUUAAAGGAAAGGUAA